GACGAACGCUGGCGGCGUGCUUAGCACAUGCAAGUCGAACGGAAAGGCCCUGCUUUUGUGGGGUGCUCGAGUGGCGAACGGGUGAGUAACACGUGAGUAACCUGCCCUGGACUUUGGGAUAACUUCAGGAAACUGGUGCUAAUACCUACUAGGAGCUCCUGCUGCAGGGGGGGGGUUGGAAAGUUUAGGCUGUUGUGGAUGGACUCGCGGCUUAUCAGCUUGUUGGUGGGGUAGUGGCUUACCAAGGCUUUGAAGGGUAGCCGGCAUGGGAGGGUGACCGGCCACAUGGGGACUGAGAUACGGAGCAGACUCGUACGGGAGGCAGCAGUGGGGAAUCUUGCACAAUGGGGGGAAGCGUGAUGAAGAAGUGCCGCGUGCGGGAUGACGGCCUUCGGGUUGUAAACCGCUUUAGCUUGUGACGAAGCGUGAGUGACGUUAACGGGUAAAGAAGCACCGGCUAACUACGUG
This 468-nucleotide ribosomal RNA is filed under the name uncultured bacterium. Its description in RNAcentral is "partial 16S ribosomal RNA". It matches the Rfam family "Bacterial small subunit ribosomal RNA", at positions 28 to 507 of the family's 1533-position model. The record is from RNAcentral.